RNAcentral lists this ribosomal RNA (468 nucleotides) under uncultured bacterium. RNAcentral's name for it is "partial 16S ribosomal RNA". It matches the Rfam family "Bacterial small subunit ribosomal RNA", at positions 28 to 507 of the family's 1533-position model. The record is from RNAcentral.
GACGAACGCUGGCGGCGUGCUUAACACAUGCAAGUCGAACGGAAAGGCCCUGCUUUUGUGGCGUGCUCGAGUGGCGAACGGGUGAGUAACACGUGAGUAACCUGCCCUUGACUUUGGGAUAACUUCAGGAAACUGGGGCUAAUACCGGAUAGGAGCUCCUGCUGCACGGUGGGGGUUGGAAAGUUUCGGCGGUUGGGGAUGGACUCGCGGCUUAUCAGCUUGUUGGUGGGGUAGUGGCUGACCAAGGCUUUGACGGGUAGCCGGCCUGAGAGGGUGACCGGCGACAAUGGGACUGCGAUACGGCGCAGACGGCUACGGGAGGCAGCGGUGGGGAAUAUGGCAGAAUGGGCGGAAGCGUGAUGCAGAAACGUCGCGUGCGGGAUGACGGCCUUCGGGUGGUAAACAGCUUUCGACUGUGACGAAGCGUGAGUGACGGUAAUGGGUAAAGAAGCACCGGCUAACUACGUG